GAGUAAUACAUCGGAACAUACCUAGAAGUUGGGGAUAACCCAUCGAAAGAUGGGCUAAUACCGGAUAAUCUCUGAGGAGGAAAGCUGGGGACCCGCAAGGGCCUGGCGCUUUAUGAAUGGCCGAUGGUCGAUUAGCUAGUUGGUGAGGUAAAGGCUCACCAAGGCGAUGAUCGAUAGCUGUUCUGAGAGGAAGAUCAGCCACACUGGGACUGAGACACGGCCCAGACUCC
RNAcentral lists this ribosomal RNA (230 nucleotides) under uncultured bacterium. Its description in RNAcentral is "partial 16S ribosomal RNA". It matches the Rfam family "Bacterial small subunit ribosomal RNA", at positions 108 to 339 of the family's 1533-position model. The record is from RNAcentral.